CUUAUUUGAAUGUUUAAGAACUUUGGGAAUCAGGAGAACUGAGUUACAGUCCUGACUGCCAGUUUGUCACUUUGAGCAAGUCUCUCUCAGACUGGGUCCACUCAAGGUCCAAAUACUGAUUAGUUGCUGUAUUUCUCUGAAUCAGCUUUCUGCCAUUGGAGACCUUUAUCCAUUUCUCCGGGAGUCAUGCAUAAUGAUUUCCAAUGAGCUAAUUCUUCUGAAACUUUCUUCAGAGGUGGACUAUAAUUCAGAGAGAGGUUUCAGAGUAACAGCCUUGUUAAUCUGGGAGAGGUUGCCUGGCAAUUAAGUCACAUGGGUCUGCUCAUCCUUUUGAGGCUGAUUGGGAGGUCAUAUGACAGGAGACUGGGAGGUUAUAAUUUAAGGGCAGAAACUGCUCUCCUCAGAGUCUUUGGCUAUUUUCAUCAGUUCAAGCCAAUGGAAGCUGUUGCAGGAGCCUGAUGUUGGGGGAACCCUGCCUACCUGAACACAGAGAGACCUUAAGAACUCCCAAGGGAAAGAAGCUACUAAAGUCUGGCAUUUUUAACUUAGAAUAUCCAAAUAACCUGCACCCAAGAGUUUUAAAAGAAGUGGCUGAGGAGCUAACUGGACCAUUAAUGUUGAUUUUCAAUACAUCUUGGAGCACGGGGGAAGUUCCAGAAGACUGGAAGAAAGCUAUUGUUCUGAUGAUUUUCAAAAAGGAUAAACGGGAUGACCUGGGCCUGCCGGCCUACAUCGAUAUGGGCAAGAUAAUGGAGUAGCUUAUACAGGCCUUGAUUAAUGAAGUAUUAAAGGAGGGCAAUGUAAUUAAUGCAAAUCAAGAUGGGUUUAUGGAAAAUGGAUCCUGUCAAACUAAGUUGAUAUCUUUUUGUGAUGAGAUUACAAGUUUGUUUGAUAAAUGUAAUUGACUCGAACUUCUGUAAGGUGUUUAAUUUGGUGCUGCACCACAGUUUGAUUACAAAAUUAGACUGAU
Non-coding RNA from Caretta caretta (loggerhead turtle), 970 nucleotides. Lineage: Eukaryota; Metazoa; Chordata; Testudines; Cheloniidae. The record is from RefSeq and is a predicted model, not a curated record.